Molecule: non-coding RNA, 118 nt
Organism: Podospora didyma
Lineage: Eukaryota; Fungi; Ascomycota; Sordariomycetes; Sordariales; Podosporaceae
Source: the annotation of a GenBank genome assembly
GGGCUGCUGGCGCAGUGGUUAGCGCACCCGACUUUCGUCGAACGGGCAAUCCUCAGUUUUGGCCGGGGAUUCCCUUUCGGUGUCCGGGAGGUCGUAGGUUCGAGUCCUACGCGGCUUG